UAGAAACUUGGCUUUGCUGCUCUAACUGCUUUGCCUCUCACUUUCACCAGCCGCUGGGACAUUUCGAGGAACAAAAUGCAUCUGAUUUUUUUAAAAACAGGACUAACUUUGGCUAUGCAUCCGGCAGUGAACUGACCGUCAAAGGCUGUGGUUCUCUAACUAAAGAUUAUCAACAGGAUGGGGAAGAACUCUCUGAAGUAACGAGAAGGCACGUUCACAGGUCAUAAUGAAGAACUUAGGUAUGAUCCUAUACCUAAGGAAAUGGUAUUCAAUUUGCAGUCACUUUUUUGGUUAGGAUUAGCAGUGGUAAGGAAAUGGGGCUGAUAUAAGGCCGAACACUAUGC
This 344-nucleotide long non-coding RNA is filed under the name Chinchilla lanigera (long-tailed chinchilla). RNAcentral's name for it is "lncRNA (ENSCLAG00000026106.1)". Lineage: Eukaryota; Metazoa; Chordata; Mammalia; Rodentia; Chinchillidae. The record is from RNAcentral.